This 492-nucleotide ribosomal RNA is filed under the name uncultured bacterium. RNAcentral's name for it is "partial 16S ribosomal RNA". It matches the Rfam family "Bacterial small subunit ribosomal RNA", at positions 29 to 507 of the family's 1533-position model. The record is from RNAcentral.
AGUGAACGCUGGCGGUAGGCCUAACACAUGCAAGUCGAACGGCAGCACAGUAAGAGCUUGCUCUUACGGGUGGCGAGUGGCGGACGGGUGAGGAAUACAUCGGAAUCUACUUUUUCGUGGGGGAUAACGUAGGGAAACUUACGCUAAUACCGCAUACGACCUACGGGUGAAAGCAGGGGAUCUUCGGACCUUGCGCGAUUGAAUGAGCCGAUGUCGGAUUAGCUAGUUGGCGGGGUAAAGGCCCACCAAGGCGACGAUCCGUAGCUGGUCUGAGAGGAUGAUCAGCCACACUGGAACUGAGACACGGUCCAGACUCCUACGGGAGGCAGCAGUGGGGAAUAUUGGACAAUGGGCGCAAGCCUGAUCCAGCCAUACCGCGUGGGUGAAGAAGGCCUUCGGGUUGUAAAGCCCUUUUGUGGGGAAAGAAAAGCAGCAGGUUAAUACCCCGCUGUUCUGACGGUACCCAAAAAAUAAGCACCGGCUAACUUCGUG